Molecule: ribosomal RNA, 923 nt
Filed under: Pinnularia sp.
Lineage: Eukaryota; Bacillariophyta; Bacillariophyceae; Sellaphorales; Pinnulariaceae
Description: partial 28S ribosomal RNA
Rfam family: Eukaryotic large subunit ribosomal RNA
Source: RNAcentral
AAGCAUAUAAAUAAGCGGAGGAAAAGAAACUAACAAGGAUUGACGUAGUAAGGGCGACUGAACUGUCAUGAGCUCACCGUGUGAAUCAGCACAUGUAUGUGUGCCGAAUUGUGGUCUGGAGGUGCAUGCACUACGGGUGCUGGGCAAAGUCUCUUGGAAGAGGGCAGCGCAGAGGGUGAUACUCCCGUUUGCCUGGUGCUUGGAGCGUGCACUGAUGAGUCGAGUUGUUUGGGAUUGCAGCUCAAAGCUGGUGGUAAAUUCCAUCGAAAGCUAAAUAUUGGUGGGAGACCGAUAGUGUACAAGUACCGUGAGGGAAAGAUGCAAAGAACUUUGAAAAGAGAGUUAAAGAGUGCCUGAAAUUGCUGAAAAGGAAGCGAAGGAAAGUAGUGAGAAGUUGCACCAUACUUCCCAACCUGCUUGCGGGUAGGGCGCUGUGGUCAGCGAGGUUCAUUUUGGUUCAGUUGAUGGAAGGUGCAGCAGCAACAGGAUGUUGCAGCUGCUUGAUGUUGGUUGGACUGAAAAGAACAAAAUGGUUUUCUUUGCCCCGUCUAGAAACACGGACCAAGGAGUCUAACAUAUGUGCGAGUACAGGAGAGUGUUGUUAUCUCCGGUGCGGAAUGAAAGUGACAGUGGCUGGAAUGCUUGGUAAUGCGAGCAUUGCACAGUCCGCCGGCCUCAAUCCCUCGGGAGAACGGUCUGAGUGUGAGCAUGCAUGUUGGGACCCGAAAGAUGGUGAACUAUGCUUGAGUAGGGUGAAGCCAGGGGAAACUCUGGUGGAGGCUCGUAGCGAUUCUGACGUGCAAAUCGAUCGUCGAACUCGGGUAUAGGGGGCGAAAGACUAAUCGAACCAUCUAGUAGCUGGGUUCCCUCCGAAAUGUCCCUUAGGAUAGCUGCGAUCGGCUUUUUAGUUUUGUCAGGUAAAG